GACGAACGCUGGCGGCGUGCUUAACACAUGCAAGUCGAACGCUGAAGCUCAGCUUUUGUUGGGUGGAUGAGUGGCGAACGGGUGAGUAACACGUGAGUAACCUGCCCCCUUCUUUGGGAUAACGCCCGGAAACGGGUGCUAAUACUGGGUAUUCACUGGUCUUCGCAUGGGGGUUGGUGGAAAGGGUUUUUCUGGUGGGGGAUGGGCUCGCGGCCUAUCAGCUUGUUGGGGGGGUGAUGGCCUACCAAGGCUUUGACGGGUAGCCGGCCUGAGAGGGUGACCGGUCACAUUGGGACUGAGAUACGGCCCAGACUACUACGGGAGGCAGCAGUGGGGAAUAUUGCACAAUGGGCGCAAGCCUGAUGCAGCGACGCAGCGUGAGGGAUGGAGGCCUUCGGGUUGUGAACCUCUUUCGCUCAUGGUCAAGCCGAAACAAUGGUUGUGGUGAGGGUAGUGGGUAAAGAAGCGCCGGCUAACUACGUG
This 483-nucleotide ribosomal RNA is filed under the name uncultured bacterium. Its description in RNAcentral is "partial 16S ribosomal RNA". It matches the Rfam family "Bacterial small subunit ribosomal RNA", at positions 28 to 507 of the family's 1533-position model. The record is from RNAcentral.